This 460-nucleotide ribosomal RNA is filed under the name uncultured bacterium. Its description in RNAcentral is "partial 16S ribosomal RNA". It matches the Rfam family "Bacterial small subunit ribosomal RNA", at positions 338 to 795 of the family's 1533-position model. The record is from RNAcentral.
CCUACGGGGGGCAGCAGUGAGGAAUAUUGGUCAAUGGACGAGAGUCUGAACCAGCCAAGUAGCGUGAAGGAUGACUGCCCUAUGGGUUGUAAACUUCUUUUAUAUGGGAAUAAAAUGUUCCACGUGUGGGAUUUUGUAUGUACCAUAUGAAUAAGGAUCGGCUAACUCCGUGCCAGCAGCCGCGGUAAUACGGAGGAGCCGAGCGUUAUCCGGAUUUAUUGGGUUUAAAGGGAGCGUAGGUGGAUUGUUAAGUCAGUUGUGAAAGUUUGCGGCUCAACCGUAAAAUUGCAGUUGAAACUGGCAGUCUUGAGUACAGUAGAGGUGGGCGGAAUGCGUGGUGUAGCGGUGAAAUGCUUAGAUAUCACGAAGAACUCCGAUUGCGAAGGCAGUUCACUGGACUGCAACUGACACUGAGGCUCGAAAGUGUGGGUAUCAAACAGGAUUAGAUACCCCAGUAGUC